RNAcentral lists this ribosomal RNA (460 nucleotides) under uncultured bacterium. RNAcentral's name for it is "partial 16S ribosomal RNA". It matches the Rfam family "Bacterial small subunit ribosomal RNA", at positions 338 to 795 of the family's 1533-position model. The record is from RNAcentral.
CCUACGGGAGGCAGCAGUGAGGAAUAUUGGUCAAUGGGCGGGAGCCUGAACCAGCCAAGUCGCGUGAGGGAAGACGGUCCUAUGGAUUGUAAACCUCUUUAGGCGGGGAGCAAUGCCGGGCACGCGUGCCAGGAGGGAGAGUACCCGCAGAAUAAGCAUCGGCUAACUCCGUGCCAGCAGCCGCGGUAAUACGGAGGGUGCGAGCGUUAUCGGGAUGUAUUGGGUUUAAAGGGUGCGUAGGUGGAUUUUUAAGUCAGCGGUAAAAGGUCCGGGCUCAACCGGGGCCGGCCGUUGAAACUGGGGAUCUUGAGUGGGCGAGAGGUAUGCGGAAGGCGUGGUGCAGCAGUGAAAUGCAGAGAUAUCACGCAGAACUCCGAUUGCGAAGGCAGCAUACCGGCGCCCGACUGACGCUGAGGCACGAAAGCGUGGGGAUCGAACAGGAUUAGAUACCCGGGUAGUC